RNAcentral lists this ribosomal RNA (244 nucleotides) under Burkholderia ubonensis. Its description in RNAcentral is "partial 16S ribosomal RNA". It matches the Rfam family "Bacterial small subunit ribosomal RNA", at positions 1 to 245 of the family's 1533-position model. Lineage: Bacteria; Pseudomonadati; Pseudomonadota; Betaproteobacteria; Burkholderiales; Burkholderiaceae. The record is from RNAcentral.
UUGAACUGAAGAGUUUGAUCCUGGCUCAGAUUGAACGCUGGCGGCAUGCCUUACACAUGCAAGUCGAACGGCAGCACGGGCUUCGGCCUGGUGGCGAGUGGCGAACGGGUGAGUAAUACAUCGGAACAUGUCCUGUAGUGGGGGAUAGCCCGGCGAAAGCCGGAUUAAUACCGCAUACGAUCCACGGAUGAAAGCGGGGGACCUUCGGGCCUCGCGCUAUAGGGUUGGCCGAUGGCUGAUUAGC